Molecule: ribosomal RNA, 855 nt
Filed under: uncultured bacterium
Lineage: Bacteria
Description: bacterial SSU rRNA
Rfam family: Bacterial small subunit ribosomal RNA
Source: RNAcentral
GUCGAGGGGUAGGGAGACUUCGGUUUCCUGAGACCGGCGGAUGGGUGAGUAACGCGUAUGCAACCUACCUUUCACAGGGGAAUAGCCCGGAGAAAUCCGGAUUAAUGCUCCAUGGAUUAUUUAGAUGGCAUCAUUUAAAUAAUAAAGAUUUAUCGGUGAAAGAUGGGCAUGCGUAUCAUUAGCUAGUUGGUGUGGUAACGGCAUACCAAGGCAACGAUGAUUCGGGGUCCUGAGAGGGAGAUCCCCCACACUGGUACUGAGACACGGACCAGACUCCUACGGGAGGCAGCAGUGAGGAAUAUUGGUCAAUGGAGGCAACUCUGAACCAGCCAUGCCGCGUGCAGGAUGACUGCCCUAUGGGUUGUAAACUGCUUUUAUACAGGAAGAAAUGUAUCUACGCGUAGAUAUUUGACGGUACUGUAGGAAUAAGGAUCGGCUAACUCCGUGCCAGCAGCCGCGGUAAUACGGAGGAUCCGAGCGUUAUCCGGAAUUAUUGGGUUUAAAGGGUUCGUAGGCGGCCUUAUAAGUCAGGGGUGAAAUCUCUCAGCUCAACUGAGAACUUGCCUUUGAUACUGUAUGGCUUGAAUAAUAUUGAAGUAACUAGAAUAUGUAGUGUAGCGGUGAAAUGCAUAGAUAUUACAUGGAAUACCAAUUGCGAAGGCAGGUUACUAAUUAUUUAUUGACGCUGAUGAACGAAAGCGUGGGUAGCGAACAGGAUUAGAUACCCUGGUAGUCCACGCCGUAAACGAUGGAUACUAGCUGUUUGAUUUUCGGAUUGAGUGGCUAAGCGAAAGUGAUAAGUAUCCCACCUGGGGAGUACGUUCGCAAGAAUGAAACUCAAAGGAAUUGACGGGG